AUAGCACCGGCUAACUCUGUGCCAGCAGCCGCGGUAAUACAGAGGGUGCAAGCGUUAAUCGGAAUUACUGGGCGUAAAGCGAGCGUAGGUGGCUUGAUAAGUCAGAUGUGAAAUCCCCGGGCUUAACCUGGGAACUGCAUCUGAAACUGUUAGGCUAGAGUAGGUGAGAGGAAGGUAGAAUUCCAGGUGUAGCGGUGAAAUGCGUAGAGAUCUGGAGGAAUACCGAUGGCGAAGGCAGCCUUCUGGCAUCAUACUGACACUGAGGCUCGAAAGCGUGGGUAGCAAACAGGAUUAGAUACCCUGGUAGUCCACGCCGUAAACGAUGUCUACUAGCCGUUGGGUCCCUUGAGGACUUAGUGACGCAGCUAACGCAAUAAGUAGACCGCCUGGGGAGUACGGCCGCAAGGUUAAAACUCAAAUGAAUUGACGGGGGCCCGCACAGGCGGUGGAGCAUGUGGUUUAACUCGAUGCAACGCGAAGAACCUUACCUGGUCUUGACAUAUCUAGAAUCCUGCAGAGAUGCGGGAGUGCCUUCGGGAAUUAGAAUACAGGUGCUGCAUGGCUGUCGUCAGCUCGUGUCGUGAGAUGUUGGGUUAAGUCCCGCAACGAGCGCAACCCUUGUCCUUAGUUACCAGCGGGUUAAGCCGGGAACUCUAAGGAUACUGCCAGUGACAAACUGGAGGAAGGCGGGGACGACGUCAAGUCAUCAUGGCCCUUACGACCAGGGCUACACACGUGCUACAAUGGUAGGUACAGAGGGCAGCUACACAGCGAUGUGAUGCGAAUCUCAAAAAGCCUAUCGUAGUCCAGAUUGGAGUCUGCAACUCGACUCCAUGAAGUAGGAAUCGCUAGUAAUCGCGGAUCAGAAUGCCGCGGUGAAUACGUUCCCGGGCCUUGUACACACCGCCCGUC
Molecule: ribosomal RNA, 912 nt
Filed under: uncultured bacterium
Lineage: Bacteria
Description: bacterial SSU rRNA
Rfam family: Bacterial small subunit ribosomal RNA
Source: RNAcentral